GAUGAACGCUGGCGGCGUGCUUAACACAUGCAAGUCGAACGGAAAGGCCCCUGCUUGCCGGGGUACUCGAGUGGCGAACGGGUGAGUAACACGUGGGUGAUCUGCCCUGCACUUCGGGAUAAGCAUGGGAAACUGGGUCUAAUACCGGAUAGGACGAUGGUUUGGAUGCCAUUGUGGAAAGUUUUUCGGUGUGGGAUGAGCUCGCGGCCUAUCAGCUUGUUGGUGGGGUAAUGGCCUACCAAGGCGUCGACGGGUAGCCGGCCUGAGAGGGUGUACGGCCACAUUGGGACUGAGAUACGGCCCAGACUCCUACGGGAGGCAGCAGUGGGGAAUAUUGCACAAUGGGCGCAAGCCUGAUGCAGCGACGCCGCGUGGGGGAUGACGGCCUUCGGGUUGUAAACUCCUUUCGCUAGGGACGAAGCGCAAGUGACGGUACCUGGAGAAGAAGCACCGGCUAACUACGUG
RNAcentral lists this ribosomal RNA (465 nucleotides) under uncultured bacterium. RNAcentral describes it as "partial 16S ribosomal RNA". It matches the Rfam family "Bacterial small subunit ribosomal RNA", at positions 28 to 507 of the family's 1533-position model. The record is from RNAcentral.